AUUGAACGCUGGCGGCAUGCUUUACACAUGCAAGUCGAACGGUAACAGGCCUUCGGGUGCUGACGAGUGGCGAACGGGUGAGUAAUGCAUCGGAACGUGCCCAGAGGUGGGGGAUAACGCAGCGAAAGCUGUGCUAAUACCGCAUGUGAUCUGAGGAUGAAAGCGGGGGACCAGGCAGCAAUGUUUGGCCUCGCGCCUUUGGAGCGGCCGAUGUCAGAUUAGGUAGUUGGUGGGGUAAAGGCCUACCAAGCCGACGAUCUGUAGCUGGUCUGAGAGGACGACCCGCCACACCGGGACUGAGACACGGCCCAGACUCCUACGGGAGGCAGCAGUGGGGAAUUUUGGACAAUGGGCGCAAGCCUGAUCCAGCAAUGCCGCGUGCGGGAAGAAGGCCUUCGGGUUGUAAACCGCUUUUGUACGGAACGAAAAGGCUCUGGCUAAUACCUGGGGCUGAUGACGGUACCGUAAGAAUAAGCACCGGCUAACUACGUG
RNAcentral lists this ribosomal RNA (492 nucleotides) under uncultured bacterium. RNAcentral's name for it is "partial 16S ribosomal RNA". It matches the Rfam family "Bacterial small subunit ribosomal RNA", at positions 30 to 507 of the family's 1533-position model. The record is from RNAcentral.